This 1359-nucleotide ribosomal RNA is filed under the name Klebsiella pneumoniae. RNAcentral's name for it is "bacterial SSU rRNA". It matches the Rfam family "Bacterial small subunit ribosomal RNA", at positions 192 to 1533 of the family's 1533-position model. Lineage: Bacteria; Pseudomonadati; Pseudomonadota; Gammaproteobacteria; Enterobacterales; Enterobacteriaceae. The record is from RNAcentral.
GUCGCAAGACCAAAGUGGGGGACCUUCGGGCCUCAUGCCAUCAGAUGUGCCCAGAUGGGAUUAGCUAGUAGGUGGGGUAACGGCUCACCUAGGCGACGAUCCCUAGCUGGUCUGAGAGGAUGACCAGCCACACUGGAACUGAGACACGGUCCAGACUCCUACGGGAGGCAGCAGUGGGGAAUAUUGCACAAUGGGCGCAAGCCUGAUGCAGCCAUGCCGCGUGUGUGAAGAAGGCCUUCGGGUUGUAAAGCACUUUCAGCGGGGAGGAAGGCGGUGAGGUUAAUAACCUCAUCGAUUGACGUUACCCGCAGAAGAAGCACCGGCUAACUCCGUGCCAGCAGCCGCGGUAAUACGGAGGGUGCAAGCGUUAAUCGGAAUUACUGGGCGUAAAGCGCACGCAGGCGGUCUGUCAAGUCGGAUGUGAAAUCCCCGGGCUCAACCUGGGAACUGCAUUCGAAACUGGCAGGCUAGAGUCUUGUAGAGGGGGGUAGAAUUCCAGGUGUAGCGGUGAAAUGCGUAGAGAUCUGGAGGAAUACCGGUGGCGAAGGCGGCCCCCUGGACAAAGACUGACGCUCAGGUGCGAAAGCGUGGGGAGCAAACAGGAUUAGAUACCCUGGUAGUCCACGCCGUAAACGAUGUCGAUUUGGAGGUUGUGCCCUUGAGGCGUGGCUUCCGGAGCUAACGCGUUAAAUCGACCGCCUGGGGAGUACGGCCGCAAGGUUAAAACUCAAAUGAAUUGACGGGGGCCCGCACAAGCGGUGGAGCAUGUGGUUUAAUUCGAUGCAACGCGAAGAACCUUACCUGGUCUUGACAUCCACAGAACUUUCCAGAGAUGGAUUGGUGCCUUCGGGAACUGUGAGACAGGUGCUGCAUGGCUGUCGUCAGCUCGUGUUGUGAAAUGUUGGGUUAAGUCCCGCAACGAGCGCAACCCUUAUCCUUUGUUGCCAGCGGUUCGGCCGGGAACUCAAAGGAGACUGCCAGUGAUAAACUGGAGGAAGGUGGGGAUGACGUCAAGUCAUCAUGGCCCUUACGACCAGGGCUACACACGUGCUACAAUGGCAUAUACAAAGAGAAGCGACCUCGCGAGAGCAAGCGGACCUCAUAAAGUAUGUCGUAGUCCGGAUUGGAGUCUGCAACUCGACUCCAUGAAGUCGGAAUCGCUAGUAAUCGUAGAUCAGAAUGCUACGGUGAAUACGUUCCCGGGCCUUGUACACACCGCCCGUCACACCAUGGGAGUGGGUUGCAAAAGAAGUAGGUAGCUUAACCUUCGGGAGGGCGCUUACCACUUUGUGAUUCAUGACUGGGGUGAAGUCGUAACAAGGUAACCGUAGGGGAACCUGCGGUUGGAUCACCUCCUUA